CCCUUAGAUGUUCUGGGCCGCACGCGCGCUACACUGACGAAUGCAACGAGCUUAUAACCUUGGCCGAAAGGUCUGGGUAAUCUCCAAAUUUCGUCGUGAUGGGGAUAGAUUAUUGCAAUUAUUAAUCUUCAACGAGGAAUGCCUCGUAAGCGCAAGUCAUCAGCUUGCGUUGAUUACGUCCCUGCCCUUUGUACACACCGCCCGUCGCUCCUACCGAUUGAAUGGUCCGGUGAAGCGUUCGGACCGUGGCCUUUGGACGGUUCGCCGUCUGUUGGCUGCGGGAAGUUCGUUAAACCUUAUCAUUUAGAGGAAGGAGAAGUCGUAACA
Molecule: ribosomal RNA, 327 nt
Filed under: uncultured eukaryote
Lineage: Eukaryota
Description: partial 18S ribosomal RNA
Rfam family: Eukaryotic small subunit ribosomal RNA
Source: RNAcentral